AAUUAUCUACUCAGCUACUAACUCUCUAAGUCGACGAGUCCAUUUUUGAUUUCAUUAUUUCAGAUCAGAUCCCAUCCUCUCCUCGUGGAACUUUGACCGUCGACUGUCGAUUAACUCUCUACUCGUCGAUCGAAGAUCUCACAUCCUCUCCACUUCUUCAGCCUCCGCUUCUCUCCGGCCUCCGUGGCGAAUGCGCCUCGGCCGAUGCACGAUCUCGGUUCCCAGUCUCCCAGUCUCGAUCUCGGCCCUCUCCGACUCCCCCCCUUCGACUCUCUUACAUCUGAUUUUUUUAAGUAAGUUACAUUUGAUUUUGAUUUGAACCCUUUUACGGGUUAUUUGAUCUGAUUUUGUUAGUUAGGGUUAUGAUUUCUAAGGUGGGUACUGGGUAAUCUUUUGAUUCAUUCAUAAAUUUGGAAUCUGAGCUUUCUGUGGAGUACUGGAGUCUUGGAUUUCUUGUUAAUUUUUUUUUGGGAUCUUUAUUAUAUAAUUUCAUGAAUUGGGAUAAUGUGAUAUUAUAAUUUGUUGGCUUUGUUAACUUGGACCUUAAUUUUAAUUGAUAGUUACUAUGCAAUGACAGCUACAAUUUUGAUUAUAAUGAUUAAUGGUUCUGAAAAUUGAUGGUGUCAUGGUGUAUUGGUGUUAUGCUAUGAGUAUGAACUAUGAAGCACAAUUUAUUGCAGAAAGCACAAUUUGUUGGUCUAUUUUACUUUCACUAGGUUAGUUUCAAAAUUUGAUAUCAUGAACUGCUGAAGGUUAAUUAAGUAUUUGAUAUCUCAAGUUACAGCCAUGUAUUUCCUUGAACUGGUUUGUCCAUUUAAGUUAUUAAGCUUGUUUUCACUAUAUAUUUUUUACUCUGUGACAAAACUAGAUUACCAUAUAUUUGUCUUUCUCUUGAUUCCUUAGUUCUUUGGACAAAUAAUACCAUAUAUUUGUUAUUAAAGGAUAUAUCUAUUUCCUGAGCUCAUUAUAUAUGGAUGGUGCUAGAUUUUGUCUUGUGUAUUUUCUUGAGGUUGUUUUGGUAACCAUUAUCUGAAGCUUACUAAAUGCUAAAAUUUGUUAAAUUCAUAAAAUCUAAUAUACGAAACUGCUCUCAUAUUUGAUUGUCAUCUAAUCAUGGUUUACACAUACGCGCAACAAUGCCCAUAGGCCAUAACAGCUCCAUGUCUACUUUUUAGAGUAUAGUGUUGAUCGAAUUUGUGUUGCAUGUUCAUGUUGCUGUACAGGAUUUGUGAUGUUCAUGGUUAUGUGAUGUAUAAAAUUUGUGUUGUUGUACCUGUUGCUGUUGUAUGUUGCUGUUCGCUGUAGUUUGUUGGCUGUUGCACAAGCCCAACUACUGGUUUGCUGCUAGCUGCUGCCGCUUGCCUGCUACUCUGUCUCUGCUAGAUUAAUUUCAUGUUGGCUUGUUGGGCGCUGUUGCCUGUUGCUGGCUUGUUGCUUUGUUUAGUCAUAAAUUUGUUAAAGUCUUAAGGACUGGACAGUUAAUUUUUUUGACUUGUUGUUGCUGACUAACUGUAUUUUGGACAGUUAAUUUUGCUAGAUUAAUUUUUGUUGCUGCUUUGUUAAGUCAUAAAUUUGUUAAGGUCUUAACUCUUAAGGACUGAACAGUUAAUUUUGUUGGCUUAUUGUUGCUGACUUGCUGUAUUUUGGAUAGUUAAUUUGGCUUGCUUUAUUAAGUCAUAAAUUUCAUGUUGGCUUGUUGUUGUUGCUGGACAAUUAAGGUAACAGUUGCUGGACAGUUAAUUUGUUAAACAGGUAACAUGAAAUUUAUGUUGGAUGAUAUUUCGGUUAUUACCCGAAUACCAGAAAUUACAAUUCAGUAAUUCGGUAUUCGGUAGUUCGGUUAUUUUCAAAUUUCGGUUAGUAGUUCAGAUAGUGAAAUUAUCAAUAAUUCAGUUUUCGGUUAUAACCGAAUAGCUUAUUCGGUUCGGUUAUAACCGAAUGAUCACUCCUACUCCUCCCCACAUACACAUACACAUACACAUACAUAAGACCUUAAAAUAAACAAACAGUUUAGAUUUAAUUUAUACUCGUUCAAUUAAAAAAUUAAUUUAAAUUCGACUCGAAAUAUAAAUAAUUUAAAUAUGAACAAACUUUAAAGUUCGAUAAAUUACUCGAACCUUCUUAAAUUAUAAUUUUAUGUUGAUAUUCGAAUCAUAUUCGUUCGAAAAGUUCAAAUUGUUCGAGCUCGAUUCGAGAUCUUGUCCGACUCGAUAACUAAACGAGCCUCAAUCAAAUUUUAUUUUAUACUCGAUAAAUUUUAUGAACCAAAUCUGAACAACUCAAUACUCGACUCGACUCAUUUACAACCUUACAUACAACCUCCUCCUUCCCGUGCUAGAAUUUUGCCCCAUCUUAUUAUUACUAUUUUACUAAAAGAAAAAGUUAAAAUUAUUUUUUUGUACCCCUUUUCUUUCUUAAUACUACUGUCAUGGAUUUGUUAUUAGAAAUUGAUAAAUUUACAAUA
RNAcentral lists this long non-coding RNA (2464 nucleotides) under Panax ginseng (ginseng). RNAcentral's name for it is "long non-coding RNA (PGIN_LNC017113)". Lineage: Eukaryota; Viridiplantae; Streptophyta; Magnoliopsida; Apiales; Araliaceae. The record is from RNAcentral.